GGGGUCCGAUGUGAGGAAGAAUCAGAAGAACGAGUGGUUCGAGAGGAAACGUGGUGGUCGGAAUGGAAAGAGAUCGUUGUCGAUUCGGAGAGGGAGAGGGGGGCUAUCUAUCAGGAAUGGAAGCUUCAAGCAAGAGAAGCCGAAGACGAGGAAGAAAGAAAUUCAAUCUUCAACAGACAGAGAGGUCAAUAUUUCGAAGGCCAUGGAGACAUCGAGGAUAGAGAAAGAGAAGGCGAGCGCAGAGAGGAAGAUAAGGAAGGUUUCGAUGGCGAAGAAGGUUGUGG
RNAcentral lists this unclassified non-coding RNA (284 nucleotides) under Hevea brasiliensis (rubber tree). Lineage: Eukaryota; Viridiplantae; Streptophyta; Magnoliopsida; Malpighiales; Euphorbiaceae. The record is from RNAcentral.